This 253-nucleotide ribosomal RNA is filed under the name uncultured bacterium. RNAcentral's name for it is "partial 16S ribosomal RNA". It matches the Rfam family "Bacterial small subunit ribosomal RNA", at positions 524 to 776 of the family's 1533-position model. The record is from RNAcentral.
UACGGAGGGUGCGAGCGUUGUCCGGAAUCAUUGGGCGUAAAGGGCGCGUAGGUGGCCCGGUCAGCGUGCGGUGAAAGCUCGGGGCUCAACCCCGAGUCGGCCGUGCGAACUGCUGGGCUUGAGCACUGUAGAGGCAGGCGGAAUUCCGGGUGUAGCGGUGGAAUGCGUAGAGAUCCGGAAGAACACCGGUGGCGAAGACGGCCUGCUGGGCAGUGGCUGACACUGAGGCGCGACAGCGUGGGGAGCAAACAGG